Molecule: long non-coding RNA, 713 nt
Organism: Lycium barbarum (goji berry)
Lineage: Eukaryota; Viridiplantae; Streptophyta; Magnoliopsida; Solanales; Solanaceae
Exons: 4
Source: RefSeq, a predicted model, not a curated record
AUUACUGAUGAGGCAAAGAUGUGGAGUAAGAUCAAGAGUUGUGCAACUCUUGAAUAAAAGAUAAGUGUUCUUAUGCUUUAUGUCAAAUUAUAUUAGUAAUUAUCUUUGUUAUACUUUAAUAUGUUUUUUUAUAUUUAGUUUGCUACUUUGUUGUGUAAAUUGUAGGAGACUUAAUGAAAUAUUGUCUAUCUCGGAGAACGCAGUCUAGCACCCUAAUUGUCGGAAGAGAAGAUUGAAUCACAUGCCCUCUACAAACUACAUAUUUUGGAGGAAACGGGAUUUGAGUUCGAACGAGCGUAAAACGCAAAUAAGGGAUGACUCCAUAGGGUCUAAUGUUUGUAAAUCACGUACGCUUCCUCGACUUGACCCGAGGUACAGAGGUUCGAGAUCCGCCAGUGUAGGCCACACAUUCUGCUACUACAGAGUGCUCCUUUGAUUCGGAGCCCAUAUUUGGUAUAUAUCUUUUGUCAUGCAUAUGCUUCUGUAUAUUUGACUAUUUGGGGUACGGCGGGGCCCUGUCCCGCCAUAUGUUCCGUUAUGAUGUGUAGAGGCCUGUAGUCAUAUAUGUGGGUCAUGGGUCAUGUGUGUGUUCGCUUUGGUUAUGAUUUGUGUCUUAAUGCGGUCCCGUCUGUUAUAGCGGCCAAAACGGCCCGUAUAUUUGUAUAUGUGCAUAUAUUCGGCGAUGUGUAUUCCGCCGCCCCUUUUGGCUCUGA